RNAcentral lists this small RNA (642 nucleotides) under Pan troglodytes (chimpanzee). Its description in RNAcentral is "retained intron". The record is from RNAcentral. Lineage: Eukaryota; Metazoa; Chordata; Mammalia; Primates; Hominidae.
UUGAAUUUCCUGAGGGGUAGGCCUUGAACUAGGGAAGGGCUGGGGACUGGGCUUGUUCCACACCCCUCAUUUUUACCCCAUCCUGCUUUAGAAAUACCAGAUCCUGUUAUAUAAUGGAGAUGUAGACAUGGCCUGCAAUUUCAUGGGGGAUGAGUGGUUUGUGGAUUCCCUCAACCAGAAGAGGGCAAGUGUGGAGGAAUUCCCAGCCCUAAGGUCUUGCUGGUAGCUGUGAGCAAGGAUGCAGCUGCUGUAGGCUGAUGUCUUUCCUGGUGGGGCAGAUGGAGGUGCAGCGCCGGCCCUGGUUAGUGAAGUACGGGGACAGCGGGGAGCAGAUUGCCGGCUUCGUGAAGGAGUUCUCCCACAUCGCCUUUCUCACGAUCAAGGGCGCCGGCCACAUGGUUCCCACCGACAAGCCCCUCGCUGCCUUCACCAUGUUUUCCCGCUUCCUGAACAAGCAGCCAUACUGAUGACCACAGCACAGCUCCAUGGCCUGAUGCAGCCCCUCCCAGCCUCUCCCGCUAGGAGAGUCCUCUUCUAAGCAAAGUGCCCCUGCAGGCCAGGUUCUGCCGCCAGGACUGCCCCCUUCCCACAGCCCUGUACAUCCCAGACUGGGCCCAGGGUCUCCCAUAGACAGCCUGGGGG